This 253-nucleotide ribosomal RNA is filed under the name uncultured bacterium. RNAcentral describes it as "partial 16S ribosomal RNA". It matches the Rfam family "Bacterial small subunit ribosomal RNA", at positions 524 to 776 of the family's 1533-position model. The record is from RNAcentral.
UACGUAGGGUGCGAGCGUUAAUCGGAAUUACUGGGCGUAAAGCGUGCGCAGGCGGUUUUGUAAGCCAGGUGUGAAAUCCCCGGGCUCAACCUGGGAAUGGCAUUUGGGACUGCAAGGCUGGAGUGCGGCAGAGGGGGGGAUGAAUUCCGCGUGUAGCAGUGAAAUGCGUAGAUAUGCGGAGGAACACCGAUGGCGAAGGCAAUCCCCUGGGCCUGCACUGACGCUCAUGCACGAAAGCGUGGGAGCAAACAGG